GAAAUGCGAUAAGUAGUGUGAAUUGCAGAAUUCAGUGAAUCAUCGAAUCUUUGAACGCACAUUGCGCCCCUUGGUAUUCCAUGGGGCAUGCCUGUUCGAGCGUCAUUUGUACCUUCAAGCUUUGCUUGGUGUUGGGUGUUUGUCUCGCCUCUGCGUGUAGACUCGCCUCAAAACAAUUGGCAGCCGGCGUAUUGAUUUCGGAGCGCAGUACAUCUCGCGCUUUGCACUCAUAACUACGACGUCCAAAAGUACAUUUUUACACUCUUGACCUCGGAUCAGGUAGGGAUACCCGCUGAACUUAAGC
RNAcentral lists this unclassified non-coding RNA (304 nucleotides) under plant metagenome. RNAcentral describes it as "partial contains 5.8S ribosomal RNA, internal transcribed spacer 2, and large subunit ribosomal RNA". The stretch from base 1 to 105 matches the Rfam family "5.8S ribosomal RNA", at positions 50 to 154 of the family's 154-position model. The record is from RNAcentral.